Long non-coding RNA from Coturnix japonica (Japanese quail), 661 nucleotides. RefSeq lists it as uncharacterized. The record is from RefSeq and is a predicted model, not a curated record. Lineage: Eukaryota; Metazoa; Chordata; Aves; Galliformes; Phasianidae.
CAGCAGGAGACAACUGGCUGUGCUAAAUCGCUAACGUUUAUAACACGAUGAAUCGAAGCGGAGGCUGGGAGAAGGUUUAAAGGGAAGCAGAAUCCUCCAACCUGAACUGCUGCCUUUCAGAUGAAACCCAGCAAACGCUCUGAUCCGUCAGAUUGCUCUUGUUGCCUAUUUCAUUCCAUGGGGAAGGAGCCUGUCCUUGGCAUGGAGGGAAAGCACUGUGUGAAGGGCUGAGUCCAAGAGGCAGCAUAGGCUGUGCCAACCAAACUCUGCGGAACAGCUGCAGUUCUCCCUCUGCCCAUUGGCCUUAAUGUCUUCAUGUUUUCUGCACCAGAUCUACACAUCAUCUCACCCUGAGAGGCACAGCUUUAGCUGAGGGAAUGAGUACACUGAGACAGCAAGCACCAGCCUUCAGAGCCGUAAAUUGAAACUAAAGGGGAGAUUGAAAAGCAGCAGCUUGUACCACAUAACCAGUGACCUUCCUGAAGAACUUUAAUGCCUGAAACAGCCAAAAAUUUGUUUUGAAUCAAUUCAAUAUCACCUCUGCACUCAGCAAUCUCUACCUCUGAAAAAGGCUAUGAAGAGCAACGUGGUUGGCUAAGGCAGCCUGGCAGCAUUUUGCUUACAGCGGUGUAGAUGGCACUUCUCCUUAAUGGGAUUGAAU